UCCCAGACUCCUACGGGAGGCAGCAGUGGGGGAUAUUGCGCAAUGGGGGGAACCCUGAUGCAGCGACGCCGCGUGAGCGAAGAAGUACCUCGGUAUGUAAAGCUCUAUCAGCAGGGAAGAAAAUGACGGUACCUGACUAAGAGGCCCCGGCUAAAUACGUGCCAGCAGCCGCGGUAAUACGUAUGGGGCAAGCGUUAUCCGGAUUUACUGGGUGUAAAGGGAGCGCAGGCGGCCUGCCAAGUCUGGUGUGAAAUGCCGGGGCUUAACCCCGGAACUGCUUUGGAAACUGUGCAGCUAGAGUGCAGGAGAGGUAAGUGGAAUUCCUAGUGUAGCGGUGAAAUGCGUAGAUAUUAGGAGGAACACCAGUGGCGAAGGCGGCUUACUGGACUGUAACUGACGUUGAGGCUCGAAAGCGUGGGGAGCAAACAGGAUUAGAUACCCGUGUAGA
This 448-nucleotide ribosomal RNA is filed under the name uncultured bacterium. RNAcentral describes it as "bacterial SSU rRNA". It matches the Rfam family "Bacterial small subunit ribosomal RNA", at positions 329 to 794 of the family's 1533-position model. The record is from RNAcentral.